AAGUAAUUUGCUGCUCAAACCGCUCGGAGUCGCGAACUAG
RNAcentral lists this transfer RNA (40 nucleotides) under Mesodinium pulex. RNAcentral's name for it is "partial tRNA". Lineage: Eukaryota; Ciliophora; Litostomatea; Cyclotrichida; Mesodiniidae. The record is from RNAcentral.